This is a non-coding RNA of Oryza meridionalis, 204 nucleotides long. Lineage: Eukaryota; Viridiplantae; Streptophyta; Magnoliopsida; Poales; Poaceae. The record is from Rfam.
AAUAAGCGCAGCCAUGAGUUUCCGUGUCUAAUUUUGAUCAUUCGUCUUAUUUGAAAUUUUUUACGAUUAGUAUUUUUAUUGUUGUUAGAUUAUAAAACAUAAAUAGUAUUUUAUGCGUGACUAAUUUUUUUUAGUUUUUUCAAAAAAAAUUUAAAUAAGACGAACGAUUAAAAUUGGGCACAGAAACUUAUGGCUGCACUUAUU